CCGAAACUGCCUCGGGGCGCUGGGGGGCGGGGAUCCAGUUUCGUUUCUGAUCCUAGAGAGCCACUGAUCCGGUGGGACCUAGAAGUACCUUGGGAACUGCCUUGAAGUUUGGGCGCAGCUUUUGGCGUGGUGUAAGGGUUUCUCCAUGUAGCCUUGACUGUCCUGGAACUCCAUCUGUAGACUGGCUGCCUCAAACCACAGAGCUCCAAUCCCGCCUGCUUCAGCCUCCCAAGUGCUGGGACUAAAGAUCUGGUGGUGCCACCGUCGUCGCACCAAUAUCAGGCCUUAUAGAAGAGUUGAGGGAAAGAUUGUGGCCCCCGAAGGGGACAGGAACUCCAAAGGAAGACCAACAGGAGUCAACAAACUUGGAUCCUUAGGGCUCCCAGAGACUGAACCACCAACCAAAGAGCAUACACCGGCUGGACCUAGGCCUCCCAGCACAUUUGUAGCGGAUGUGAGUUUAGUCUUUAUGUGGGUCACAAACAACUGGAGCGGGGGCUAUCCCAAAAGCUGUUGUCUGUUUGUGUAAUUUGUUUCUUCUAGCUGCGGUGCCUUGGCCUCCUCAGUGGGGAAAGAAUGCACCUAGCACUGCAGAGACUUGAUAUGCCAGGGUCAGGGGAUAGUCAGUGGGGCCCCCAACCGCUCAGAGGAGUAGGGGAGGGGGCAUGAAGUGACCAGGAGGGGAGCAAUAAGUGGGAUGUAAAGUAAAUACGUUUAAAAAAAAAAAGAACAAUAAAAAAAAUUUUUUUAAAUGCCCUA
Molecule: long non-coding RNA, 759 nt
Organism: Rattus norvegicus (Norway rat)
Lineage: Eukaryota; Metazoa; Chordata; Mammalia; Rodentia; Muridae
Source: RefSeq, a predicted model, not a curated record